GCGCCCGUAGCUCAGCUGGAUUAGAGCGCUGCCCUCCGGAGGCAGAGGUCGUGAGUUCGAAUCUCGCCGGGUGCGCCA
This 78-nucleotide transfer RNA is filed under the name Sulfitobacter sp. Its description in RNAcentral is "tRNA-Arg". It matches the Rfam family "tRNA". Rfam says of the family: Transfer RNA (tRNA) molecules are approximately 80 nucleotides in length. Their secondary structure includes four short double-helical elements and three loops (D, anti-codon, and T loops). Further hydrogen bonds mediate the characteristic L-shaped molecular structure. tRNAs have two regions of fundamental functional importance: the anti-codon, which is responsible for specific mRNA codon recognition, and the 3' end, to which the tRNAs corresponding amino acid is attached (by aminoacyl-tRNA synthetases). tRNAs cope with the degeneracy of the genetic code in two manners: having more than one tRNA (with a specific anti-codon) for a particular amino acid; and 'wobble' base-pairing, i.e. permitting non-standard base-pairing at the 3rd anti-codon position. The record is from RNAcentral. Lineage: Bacteria; Pseudomonadati; Pseudomonadota; Alphaproteobacteria; Rhodobacterales; Roseobacteraceae.